AUAUUGGUCAAUGGGCGAGAGCCUGAACCAGCCAUGCCGCGUGAAGGAUGAAGGCGUUCUGCGUUGUAAACUUCUUUUAUCGGGGAAGAAACCUGAGAUUUCUAUUUCAGCCGACGGUACCCGAUGAAUAAGCACCGGCUAACUCCGUGCCAGCAGCCGCGGUAAUACGGAGGGUGCAAGCGUUAUCCGGAUUUACUGGGUUUAAAGGGUGUGUAGGCGGGCCGUUAAGUCAGGGGUGAAAUCCCGGAGCUCAACUCCGGAACUGCCUUUGAUACUAUCGGUCUUGAAUAUUGUUGAGGUGGGCGGAACGGGUCAUGUAGCGGUGAAAUGCAUAGAUAUGACCCGGAACACCGAUUGCGAAGGCAGCCCGCUAAGCAAUGAUUGACGCUGAGGCACGAAAGCGUGGGGAUCAAACAGG
RNAcentral lists this ribosomal RNA (418 nucleotides) under uncultured bacterium. RNAcentral describes it as "bacterial SSU rRNA". It matches the Rfam family "Bacterial small subunit ribosomal RNA", at positions 361 to 776 of the family's 1533-position model. The record is from RNAcentral.